Tupaia belangeri chinensis (Chinese tree shrew) is the source of this 139-nucleotide long non-coding RNA. RefSeq lists it as uncharacterized. The record is from RefSeq and is a predicted model, not a curated record. The transcript has 3 exons. NCBI's taxonomy places the organism in Eukaryota, Metazoa, Chordata, Mammalia, Scandentia, Tupaiidae.
GUCUCUUCAUGCUUUUAUCUAUAGAUCUCUCUUCAGCCUCAGCAGAAGUGAUGUCUCCAAUGGACUCAUCUUCAUCCUCAGAAGAAGUCUCACCCACAGAUAUAGCUCCUACUUCAGAUGAAGCACUUUCUCCACCAGG